Long non-coding RNA from Ictalurus punctatus (channel catfish), 397 nucleotides. The record is from Ensembl. Lineage: Eukaryota; Metazoa; Chordata; Actinopteri; Siluriformes; Ictaluridae.
AUUUGAUUAGAUUGAUAUUUGAGGUGAACUGGUUUUGGAUGAGAAAGUAACCUGAUGAUCGAGAUUGGAUGAUCCACAAUAUUUCUCGAGCUGUUGGCUGUGGUACUCUGUUAUCACUGCCGUGUCGUCAUAAAGGGGAGGCGAUAUGAAGGACAACAUGACAUACUGAUGAAAACAAGGGUCGCGGGGGAACCUGGAGCCUAUCCCAAGGAGCAUCGGGCACAAGGCAGGGUACACCCUGGACAGGGUGCCAGUCCAUCACAGGGCACACAAUCACACACACAUUCAUACACACAAAUCAGCCUACCAUGCAUGUCUUAUGAAGACAUGCUUCAACAGACUGGGGGAGGAAACCGGAGUACCUGGAGGAAACCCCCACAGCACGGGAGAACAUGCA